This 773-nucleotide long non-coding RNA is filed under the name Pan troglodytes (chimpanzee). RNAcentral describes it as "long non-coding RNA NONPTRT006458". Lineage: Eukaryota; Metazoa; Chordata; Mammalia; Primates; Hominidae. The record is from RNAcentral.
GCGACUCCGCUUCUGGGCCCCAGGGCAGCAGCGCGGAGCCUCCGGACAACCUACUGACCACCCAUGUGCUGGACACCGCCUCAGGGCUCCCAGCCAGAGGCCUCUGCCUCCGCUUGUACUGGCUGGAGGACCACAGCCAGCAGUGGGCGGAGCUGAGGACAAGCUACACAGACCCAGAUGGCCGCUGUCCUGGACUCCUGACGCCGGACCAGAUGAAGGCAGGCACCUACAAGCUCACCUUCGACACUGAGGGCUACUGGAGGAAGAGGGGGCAGGAAAGCUUCUACCCACAUGUGGAGGUGAGAGCCCCAGUGGGCUGGAGGGGGCUGAGGCUCAUGACUCACUGGGAUCUGCAGGCCAGGUCCUGCUGGCCGGGCAUCAUUUAGGCAGUGGGCAGACUGGUCCUGGGCGGUGGCAGGUAGGUGAGCUCACUUGCUUUGAGCUCCCAAAAGAAAGGUGUCCAGGCAGCAACAGACUCUAUGAGGACACACCCGUCACUCACCUGCCCAGGGUCAGGCUUUGUGGGGAGGCUGGGCCAAGGGUGAUUCAUCCCCUCUUUGUUGACAGAGGUUUUCAUCUGAGCCAACUCCAGCUCUCUGGGCCUAACCUCACUGCCUCACCCCACACUGGAGCCGCCGCAGAAGCGCCUGACUUACUGGGCUGUGGCUUCUGUGGAGUGUCCCUCUGGUGCGGAAGGUUCACCCCAUCCCAGACCCUCAGUCUGGGCUGCUGAAUUCUCUCAGGUGUGUUGGGGCCAGAUAGGUGGUUUGCUG